Molecule: transfer RNA, 69 nt
Filed under: Ictidomys tridecemlineatus (thirteen-lined ground squirrel)
Lineage: Eukaryota; Metazoa; Chordata; Mammalia; Rodentia; Sciuridae
Description: Spermophilus tridecemlineatus (thirteen-lined ground squirrel) tRNA
Rfam family: tRNA
About the family: Transfer RNA (tRNA) molecules are approximately 80 nucleotides in length. Their secondary structure includes four short double-helical elements and three loops (D, anti-codon, and T loops).
Source: Rfam by way of RNAcentral
GGGGUUGUGGCUCAGUAGUGGAGCACUUGCCUUGCACGUGUGAGACCCUAGGUUCGAUCCUCAACACCA